GACAGAGGGUGCAAACGUUGUUCGGAAUUACUGGGCGUAAAGCGCGUGUAGGCGGCUGUGCAAGUCGGAUGUGAAAUCCCGUGGCUCAACCACGGAAGUGCACCCGAAACUGCGCAGCUGGAGUCUCGGAGAGGAAGGUGGAAUGCUUGGUGUAGAGGUGAAAUGCGCAGAUAUCAGGAAGAACACCCGUGGCGAAGGCGGCUCUCUGGGACGGUACUGACGCUGAGACGCGAAAGCGUGGGGAGCGAACAGG
This 253-nucleotide ribosomal RNA is filed under the name uncultured bacterium. RNAcentral's name for it is "partial 16S ribosomal RNA". It matches the Rfam family "Bacterial small subunit ribosomal RNA", at positions 524 to 776 of the family's 1533-position model. The record is from RNAcentral.